GAAACGCCCUUCGUCCCUUCCGUUUCUAGCGUCAAUAUUGAUCACAACGUUUAGUGGAUCUCGAGUCAAUUAGAAGUUCUACAUCUCAAACUGUCUUUGUAACGGGUUUACAAGCAUGAGGCGCGGUGUUCGAUUCUCAGCAGAGAUUCUACGGCUUUUCCAAAUCAGGACCCGUAAGCAGAGAAGCUCAAGAGAUUUCAUCAUUCUAUUAGAGCUUUCGAGGAAAGGCACUCUAUCGUAUCGGGACAACGGUAAGGCAAAAGGCAAGACUUUUAAGUAUUGAAUCAGCUAACUUUCAGUUAAAUUCUCGUCGGAGUUCGCAGCCUCGCCGGGUUUGUUUCAAAGGUUCGACUAUAGGGGGUAUCUGUUGCAUCUCCCAUAGAGAACAGCUGAACGACCGACCCCCGUCCAAAGAGGACAACAGCAGCCGUUGGAAAACGAGUUCCUAGCAACAGCAGCAGCAGCAGCAGCAACACCACUGUCAGCAACAUAAGAAUCUCAAUGCAAAUUGUUAAGAUUACCCCACGAGAUCGCAGCGCGUUAACUGCUAGCCAAGAUCUCCCUCCGCCCGUACCAUGUAUCAGCACACAGGCGGACAUUGUACGCUGUCGACUCAAACAACUCGACCGACAGAAACGACAGUCGUCGCGAACCCUAACAACAGCAAAGGCAUUAGCAACAAACUGUUUAAAGACAACAUUGGCCAUUGGACGUAUGGUAACCGCCAGACUACGUACAACUGACGACAAUUCGGUCCCGGCGAUCGUCGGCGUUCAUCAGUUGACAGUUCGCCGCAGUCCCAAACUAAACGAGUACUACCCAAUUUCGCCGGAUAUGAUUCACGCUAGAGGCACGCUGAUGGAGUGCAUGACUUGUUCCAGCGUGGACGCGCUGGUUAUUACCGCGUUUAGUCGCCAAAUCAUAAUGGUGUACCUAUUAUUAAGUAGCCGACAAGUACGGCAUUUAAGCGAUAGCUAACGAUCGGCAGUAUUUAGUAAUAGUGCGCGAUGCUUUAGGUGGCUAUACCAUUAGCUGAGAAAGCCAACGGGAGUCU
This is a long non-coding RNA of Varroa destructor (honeybee mite), 1054 nucleotides long. Lineage: Eukaryota; Metazoa; Arthropoda; Arachnida; Mesostigmata; Varroidae. The record is from RefSeq and is a predicted model, not a curated record.